AUUCCAGCUCCAAUAGCGUAUACUAAAGCUGCUGCAGUUAAAACGCCCGUAGUUGGAAUUUGGCCAGCUGUACGUGAGGUCGACCGCGAUGGUAUGAACCCGCGUGCACUGGUCUCCUACUGGACGCGCGCCGAUCCUCUUAAGUGAGGUUCGGUUUCGCGUCGCCUUCGGGCGGCCGGGCGCCAGUUCGUUUACUGUCAGUAAAUCAAAGCGCUUAAAGCAGGCUCUACGCCAUGCAUGCUCUAGGAUGGGAUAAUGGAACAGGAUUCGUUUCUAGUUUUGUUGGUUCGAGAAAUGAGUAAUGAUUAAUAGGGACGGUUGGGGGCAUUUGUAUUGCUGAGCUAGAGGUGAAUUUCAUAGAUUUCAGCAAGACAAACCUAUGCGAAAGCAUUUGCCAAAGACGUUCUCGUUAAUCAAGGACGAAAGUUGGGGGAUCGAAGACGAUCAGAUACCGUCGUAGUCUCAACCGUAAACGAUGCCGACCAGGGAUUGCAAGACGUUUUCAUGACUUUUGCAGCACCUUGUGGGAAACCAGAGUUUUUGGGUUCUGGGGGGAGUAUGGCCGCAAGACUGAAACUUAAAGGAAUUGACGGAAGGGCACCACCAGGCGUGGAGCCUGCGGUUUAAUUUGACCCAACACGGGGAAACUUACCAGGUCCAGACGUCGGGAGGAUUGACAGAUUGAGAGCUCUUUCUUGAUUCGAUGAGUGGUGGUGCAUGGCCGUCUCCAGUUGGUGGAGUGAUUUGUCUGCUUAAUUGCGAUAACGAACGAGACCUCAACGUAUAAAUAGUGUGGCGAACGCUUUCCGUUUCGGCGGGCUGAGUUUGUACGCGCUUCUUAUGCGGACUGUUGUAGUUCAUACAAAGGAAGUUUGAGGCAAAGACAGGUCUGUGAUGCCCUUAGAUGUCCUGGGCCACACGCGCGCGACAAUGACACGCUCAACAAGUAUCUCUCCUGGCCCUAGCGGGUUGGGUAAUCUUUGAGUGCGUGUCGUAGUGGGGAUUGAUCCUUGUAAUUCUUGAUCAUCAACGAGGAAUGCCUAGUAAUCGCGAGUCAACAACUCGCGAUGAUUACGUCCCUGCCCUUUGUACACACCGCCCGUCGCUCCUACCGAUUGGGUCGUUCGGUGAACUCCUCGGAGUCUGAGCCGUGUCUAGUUUACUAGGCGCGGUUUGUGCGAAGUUGAGCAAAUCUAACGAUCUAGAGGAAGGAGAAGUCGUA
Molecule: ribosomal RNA, 1222 nt
Filed under: metagenome
Description: SSU rRNA
Rfam family: Eukaryotic small subunit ribosomal RNA
Source: RNAcentral